RNAcentral lists this long non-coding RNA (4663 nucleotides) under Brassica napus (rape). RNAcentral describes it as "long non-coding RNA (BNAP_LNC016808)". Lineage: Eukaryota; Viridiplantae; Streptophyta; Magnoliopsida; Brassicales; Brassicaceae. The record is from RNAcentral.
AGGGGAUGAAGGAACGGCGCCGUUUGAGACACUGAUGGAGAAGGCUGCCUCUGCGUCUUCUACUUCAACAGCGACUGCUCUUACUCCGAGACCGUGUGAGGAGAAGAAGGAGCGGUAGGUGACGUGGUCGAAAGAUGGGAUGGAGGCUGUGGUGGUCGGUGGAUUCUCGCCGGCGGAGAGAGAUGGAGAGUAGGGAGCGGUGAAGAGGAAUCGGAGGUCGCCGGAGGUGAGGAGGUAGGAGGCGUGAACCAUGUUUCCGGUGGAGAGAUCGGAUUUGGCGGAGAAUCUCAUGCCGAGGCCCCAUGAGAAGCGGCGCGCGACGUUGGUGGCGUCGCCGCACCAGAACUCGAUGUGGUGGAAGCGCUUGACUUUGAACUUGUCGGACUUUGGAUUCUUCCUCACGAACUUGGAGAAUCCGACGAGCUUAAACCCCGGGGACGCAGAGGUAGCAGCUGCUUCGUCGUGAUGCUGGUUCUCUGAAACGGCUGCGUUUUCGUGCCCCAUGGAUGUUUUACACCUUAGACUCUGCUUACGGAACUGUGCGAGUGGUUCGUCGAGCUAUGGACACGGACACAUAUAAAGGGAUUUUGUUUUGUUUUAAUAUGAGUUUAUUCAGACGUUAUCUCUGGUCUUAAAACUCACAGAUGUUGACUAUUGUUGGACGUGGAAGAUACACGUGUACGGUCGUGAUUUUCAUUAGAAACGAAGCUUUACGUGAUGGAUCUCUCUCUAAUUUGCUUGACCUUUGCUGAUUGGUUCGUUCUUUCUCCUUGUCUAUCUAUGGUCACCAAGUUCUGACGUGUAAGACGUAUCAACCAUUUUCACACGAUGAUGGAACGUUAUCCGAACCACAUGGAUGAGUAUUGGUGAUGAGGCAGAUUCAGCGAUUUGAUCAACUACGUAAAGAAACAGAGAUCAUGUUACGUAUUACAUAAGAAAAUUUCUCAAAUCACCUUGUUGGCUUCUAGAGUUUCCUACAUUUUCAGAGUUAUGCAAGGUUGCAACUUACUCUAGAUCAUGAAAUAAACCUACAAAUCACUAGAAAGAGUCUUAAGGAACAUGUUACAACAUAAGUUACAAGUUUUCCACAAUAAGCUUAUUAAAUAAGGUCACGAACUCUCAUGCCAUGUUUGGCUCCUCGUCUUGAGGGUUCUCGAGAGCUGUUAUAUGCUUCUUAAACAAAGUCGCAGCUUCUUCCCUCUGCUCAAGCUGUCCCACCUGGUCGUAUACCAUCGCCAUUAAAUAUAAAGCUUCAGCUGCCAAUUCAUGGUACUGCACAACAAACAUAAUGAUUAGCAAGUGAAACAGAUGGUAAACCACGAUACUAGAAUCCAAAAGAAAUUAUGUAUCGAUGAGCUAAACCGAAGAUAGUUCUAGUUUAUCUUAAACCAAUAGCACCAUAGCAUUUUUUAUGCAAUAUAGCGAUAGAACAGAGUUCGAGCUUGUUUCCGAAACAAAAGAUACAUAGCAUUCUUAUUGGCAUAAGUUACCUCCAAAGCUUGAAGCUCAUCUGAAGCUUGCCUUAGAGAAUUCAGGACUGUGUCAGAAUCUGUGGAAACUGGCGGAAUACAUUCACAGCCAAUUCAUACAAAAAUUAUGAUCAUGCAACCAAGAGCAUGAACUAUAGCCAAAGCAGUACAAAGACAACAAAAGGUACCUGAAAAGCUUGGAUCAGACAGAUAGCAGUUUGCUUCAAAGAUGUAUGCUCUAGCACGCAACUCCAGGCCUCCUUGGCCGAGAAUCAUAGGGAAAGCCCCAUGCAAAAGGUCUAACGCCCGUUUGGCAUGAUUUGAUCCAAGACCAAGCCAAAGCUCGGCCAGCGUGAGAGUAGCUGAUGCUUUGAGAAGAUCCAAAUUGAAUGACUGGCAAAAAGAGAUGCUUGCCAGCGCAUACGGAAGACCCAGGACUGCAUUUCCUGACUUCUGAGAACCAGAGAAAAGGGAAUUGGAAGGUAAAGGCGGGUCAGAAAACUUAUACAGAAUUGAAAAUAACGAUAAGAAAUGACUUAGCAGCAGAGACACAGAACAUUCAGAAGAAGUGCAUGCAUGGGAGGAAAACAAAACCUAGAGAAAUGUUACUACUGCAAGGUCGUAAGGUGACAAAUAUUCAAUGAAAUAUAAGAUUCCAAUCAGUGCGCUUUCAAGUUACCAAGUUCUUGUGCCAUGACAUACCUUAUGGAUCUCUGCAAGCAGAAGAAGAACAGAGGCCUUUUCGAUUUGCAAAUUGAAUUUGUGGCACGUACAGAAGAGGGAGUGUGCCACAUUUGCUGCCUGUAAAGAACGUAGUAACAAAGCAAAAUGACGAUACAGUAACAAAGUAUAGCUCAUGGAAAACAAAACAGAUGGUCAGCAAGGAUUUUGAACAAACCUGGCUAUACUGUUUUGCUGCAAGCAACGUCCUAGCUUCACGAAGACUUGCUUCUACUUUCAGCUCCAUGUCUACGCCCAUGGUGGUUGAUGCCAAGCCUCCUAGCUCGUUGCACAUUCGUUGAGCUAGCUUUAGAUUCCCACUAAUGGAUUUAACAAAGUUAGAAUGGCUGAUUUAAGAGAAUAAAUUCAGUACAAAAGAGAGCUUUCUGUUCACAUUUUAUUUUCCCAACGAAUGUUGUACACAUUUAGUGAGGGGGGGGGGGGGGAGAGAAGCUCCGGUCUGAGGUUUCUCAGAAAAGGGAUGGGAUUGAGAAGUUGGAGAAGGAGGUGACUGGUUUUAUAAGUGUAAAGGAGGAGAACGAGAAGAGAAUGAAGGAGUUGGAGACCAAGUUUGGUAUCUGGAGGUUAAAGAGUUGGAGGAGAGGAACACGAAGAUGAGAGAUAAUAUUGAUAACAAGGAGAAGGAAGUGAGUGAGUUGAAGUAGAAGUAGAAGAUCAAUGGUUUGGAAUCGAACGUUGCAGAAGGGAAAACAGAUAAGAAGGUUGUGGAGGAUUCAUUGAGAGAGUCAGAGAAUAAAAUGGUGGCGAUGGAAUCAGAGACUGUGGAGUUAUAGAGACAGAUUGAUUAGUCUGAGAAGAUAAUCAUUGGAUCGAAGAACCACUUAAUGGCAUUGUGCUUAAUUCACGGUCCCCUACUAGUAUGACUACUGGUUCUGGUGGAGCUAUGGCGGCUGUUGCGGUUGCAGUGGCCGGAGCAGCCGUCGUCUGCUACAUUUACCACUCCAAGAGGGUUCGAUUCAACUUAGAAUCUUUUAACUCCUCUGUGUGUUUGGUCCAUUUCACAGUUUUGUAGUCUUCUUUAUUGGGUGUUUGCUUACACAUUUUUCAUUAGUUUAUACAUUGUUACUGAACCUAAAAAUGGGAAGACAUUUCUGUAAUCAUCGUUUACUAUUUUAUAGUAUAACAUAAAACAGUUUUACAUAUCAAUUACAACCCUUUUAGUUUAGUUCUUCUUCUUACUCACCCCACAAGCUGCUUGGCUUCAAGAGUCUUCUCAUACUCUUCAAUAGACUUAAAGAGCUCAGAGAAGUUACCUUUACCAAACCCACCACAUCCUCCGCUCUGGUAAACCUUCCCUUCCUCAUCCUUCUUCAUGCAUCCCACUCUCUGUAUUAUCUCUAUAAAUAUCGUCGGCCUAUCACCACAACCAUAAAGACAUUCUCAGCAUCUAAUCAACACAAAAGAGACAAGUCUCCUCUUACCUGUCACCAAGUGGUUUUGUAAAGAUCUGAAGCAACGUCCCCUGAUCAUCUCUAUCCACAAGAAUCCCCAACUCCUCACACUCCCGAAUCGGCUCAUCACUCAGCACAUCUCCAAUCCGGUUCUUGAGAUUCUUGUAAUAAGUAGGCGGAGGAGAAGGCAUGAAGUCAAACCCUCCAACGCCGCUCCUCUUCCUCAUCUCCCUCAGAGUCUUGAAUAUAUCUUCGCUCAUCAGCGCCAGAUGCUGCACCCCCGCGCCUUCGUUGUGCUCCAGAUACGUCUGUAUCUGACUCUUCCUCUUCGUCCCGUGAACCGGCUCGUUGACCGGCAGAAGAACCGUCUCGUCGUUGUUAGCCAGAACCGCCGAGUUCAAACCGCUCUCGGCUGUUCCCACGUCGUCCGCUGUGAACUCCGCGAACUGGUGGAAGCCGGUGAACCGUGAGAGGUACGUUAGCGCUGGACCGAGCUCGGGGACGUUCCCAACCGCGUGGUCGAGGCGGCGUAUACCGUAGUCUAGUGGAAACGACGACGUAUCUUCCACAGUUUCAAAUCUCGGAAGGAAAACGGAUGUAACGGCUUUAUAACUAACGUAACGGAGCACGACGUCGCCGUAUAGUUUAACCUCAGCGAUCGUAACGGCGUCGUUUAGGGCGAUAGGAGGGGAUGAAGGAACGGCGCCGUUUGAGACGCUAACGAAGAAGGCUGACUCUGCGUCUUCUACUUCAACAGCGACAGCUCUUACGCCUAGUCCGUGUGAAGAGAAGAAGGAGCGGUAGGUGACGUCGUCGAAAGAUGGGAUGGAGGCUGUGGUGUUCGGUGGAAUCUCGCCGGCGGAGAUAGAUGGAGAGUAGGGAGCGGUGAAGAGGAAUCGGAGGUCGCCGGAGGUGAGGAGGUAGGAGGCGUGAACCAUGUUUCCGGUGGAGAGAUCGGAUUUGGCGGAGAAUCUCAUGCCGAGGCCCCAUGAGAAGCGGCGCGCGACGUUGGUGGCGUCGCCGCACCAGAACUCGAUGUGGUGGAAGCGCUUGACUUUGAAC